Molecule: long non-coding RNA, 207 nt
Filed under: Arabidopsis lyrata
Lineage: Eukaryota; Viridiplantae; Streptophyta; Magnoliopsida; Brassicales; Brassicaceae
Description: long non-coding RNA (ALYR_LNC003118)
Source: RNAcentral
AGUUCUUCCAUUUAUUCUAAACACUCAAAGCUCUGUUCUUUUCAAGUUCUGAUUCUAAACGAAGGUAAAAUUCAUUACAAGCCUUGGUAGAAGUUGGUCUAAACUUCACAACAUAUAUAAACAAAACAAAAAGCAAUUGAUAUAUGAAGCAAAUUUAUAUGUCUUACUAUCGAGGCUUCUUCCAUUCCAUUCUACGGUAGAACUCUA